UUUUCAAUCAGCAAUAACGAACAAGGGAUAAUAGUCACACCAUAACAUCUGGUUGUUAAUUAUGCCACAAAAAUUCUUAUUAUAUUAUGCUAUUUUUAUUUUUUUUAGAUAUAAACAAAAGUUAUUCACAGAUCCCCCAAUUGAAAAAGAACCAAAGCUAAAUUCACCCUAAUCACUCACACCCAAAAAAUCCCUCCCCUUUCGUAAAUCCCCAAUUGCAAGGAAAUGGAGGAAGCCGUUGUUCUAUCCUCGUUAGCAAGUUGCAUUCCAGAAAGUCAUGGCGCCUUCACUAGAAUGGAGAAGCAUGAAAGAUACAAUUAUUGGGUGUAGCUUGUUUUUCACUUGCUGCUAAAAUGGAGGAGAUUGAAGUGGUGGAUAGAUACAGGAAAAGUGCAUGUUCAUUUUGUUGUUCUUAUUAGUAGAUGCUUGAAGUUCAAAUUUGUGUAUUGGAGUUAGUAGUUGAUGAAAUAAUAUCACAAAAUUUGGAAGAUAUAUAUUUUUGGCAUUGGGAUACUUUAGUUCUUUUGUAAUUAACUAUAAAAUUAUAUAUAAAAACUGUUUAUUUUACAUA
This is a long non-coding RNA of Solanum dulcamara, 571 nucleotides long. RefSeq lists it as uncharacterized. The record is from RefSeq and is a predicted model, not a curated record. The transcript is spliced from 2 exons. Lineage: Eukaryota; Viridiplantae; Streptophyta; Magnoliopsida; Solanales; Solanaceae.